CACACAGCGAGAGAACUUCGUGUUGAUGGGUUCCGACUGUGACGAUACGGGGUUUCCUUCUUCCAGGACGCAAACGGAACUUCGGACACAGCGUGCGGCUCGGCUACAAGAGGAUACACGCACCUGCGUCCACUUCCGCCACGACCGCUGCGAGAGAACUUCGUGUUGAUGGCUUCCUACUGUGACGAUGCGGGGUUUCCUUCUUCCAGGACGCAAACGGAACUUCGGACACAGCGUGCAGAGGCGGGGCCAGCAGUCCAACAGCGAGGCAGGGCACAGCGGAGCCCACUCCAAGAUGGAGGCGUGGACGGCGGGCUAGCGGGCUAGCGGCGAGGCGGGGCGCGCCGGGAUCGACGCCGCAAACAUUAUCAGGGCGGCAGCCGUGAACGUGAGGGAGACGGAGAGAGAGAGAGAAGCGGAUGCCGAGCGAGAGAGACUGAGAGCGCGAGGAAGAAGACGACGCAAGAAGCUGAAAAGCAAGCGGAAGAGCGAGCAGCAGACGGAGAAGCUGAAAAGCAACCCAACAAGAGACAUUUAUUGAACAAUAAAGAAGUCUAAACCUGCUCACAACGAUGUCCUUCCUUGGUGGUCCUUGGAACCCGCACGACGGCUUGAGAAGUCACAUGAGCAAAAAUAUUUUUUUUUUUUUUUUUUUUUUCUA
Non-coding RNA from Nerophis lumbriciformis (worm pipefish), 661 nucleotides. Lineage: Eukaryota; Metazoa; Chordata; Actinopteri; Syngnathiformes; Syngnathidae. The record is from RefSeq and is a predicted model, not a curated record.